UCACGUCUGAAACAUCUUCUUCUUUUUUUCAUUUUUCUUUCCAUUUCCUUCCAACCUUCUUCCUCCUUUUCAUGCUUCUAUCCUGACCAACCCUUUAACAAACCCUAACAACCCUCAACAAGGCCUUCAAUUACGAAUCGUAUGAGGUAACAGAGUAACAGAGAGUAGCAGCAAUGGUUCCCAAGUACGCUUCUCCCUUCUUCUAUUCCUUUGAUUUCAAUUAAAUUUC
This 229-nucleotide long non-coding RNA is filed under the name Gossypium raimondii (Peruvian cotton). RNAcentral describes it as "long non-coding RNA (GRAI_LNC001018)". Lineage: Eukaryota; Viridiplantae; Streptophyta; Magnoliopsida; Malvales; Malvaceae. The record is from RNAcentral.